This 254-nucleotide ribosomal RNA is filed under the name uncultured bacterium. Its description in RNAcentral is "partial 16S ribosomal RNA". It matches the Rfam family "Bacterial small subunit ribosomal RNA", at positions 524 to 776 of the family's 1533-position model. The record is from RNAcentral.
UACGGGGGGAGCAAGCGUUGUUCGGAUUUACUGGGCGUAAAGGGCGCGUAGGCGGUCAGUGCAAGUCAGUUGUGAAAUCUCCGAGCUUAACUCGGAACGGUCAACUGAUACUGCUCGACUAGAGUGCGGAAGGGGCAACUGGAAUUCUUGGUGUAGCGGUGAAAUGCGUAGAUAUCAGGAGGAACACCAAUGGCGAAGGCAGCUCGCUGGGACGGUACUGACGCUGAGACGCGAAAGCGUGGGGAGCAAACAGG